This 62-nucleotide transfer RNA is filed under the name Mustela putorius furo (domestic ferret). It matches the Rfam family "tRNA", at positions 8 to 63 of the family's 71-position model. Rfam says of the family: Transfer RNA (tRNA) molecules are approximately 80 nucleotides in length. Their secondary structure includes four short double-helical elements and three loops (D, anti-codon, and T loops). Lineage: Eukaryota; Metazoa; Chordata; Mammalia; Carnivora; Mustelidae. The record is from Rfam by way of RNAcentral.
UGGCUCAGUGGGUAGAUAGAGUGUGAGACUCUUGAUCUUGGGGUUGUGGGUUCAAACCCCAU